Molecule: non-coding RNA, 100 nt
Organism: Annulohypoxylon moriforme
Lineage: Eukaryota; Fungi; Ascomycota; Sordariomycetes; Xylariales; Hypoxylaceae
Source: the annotation of a GenBank genome assembly
GGGCGUGUAACUCAGUGGUAGAGUGCUCGCUUUGCACCGGAUCUAGUCCUAACAGUGUAUAGUUUGCGAGAAGCCCAGGGUUCGACUCCCUGCUCGUCCA